RNAcentral lists this ribosomal RNA (468 nucleotides) under uncultured bacterium. RNAcentral describes it as "partial 16S ribosomal RNA". It matches the Rfam family "Bacterial small subunit ribosomal RNA", at positions 28 to 507 of the family's 1533-position model. The record is from RNAcentral.
GACGAACGCUGGCGGCGUGCUUAACACAUGCAAGUCGAACGGAAAGGCCCUGCUUUUGUGGGGUGCUCGAGUGGCGAACGGGUGUGUAACACGUGAGUAACCUGCCCUUGUCUUUGGGAUAACUUCAGGAAACUGGGGCUAAUACCGGAUAGGAGCUCCUGCUGCAUGGUGGGGGUUGGAAAGUUUCGGCGGUUGGGGCUGGACUCGCGGCUUAUCAGCUUGUUGGUGGGGUAGUGGCUUACCAAGGCUUUGACGGGUAGCCGGCCUGGGAGGGUGGCCGGCCACAUUGGGACUGAGAGACGGCCCAGACUCGUACGGGAGGCAGCGGUGGGGAAUAUUACACAAUGGGCGGAAGCCUGAUGCAGCAACGCCGGGUGCGGGAUGACGGCCUUCUGGUUGUAAACCGCUUUCGCCUGUGACGAAGCGUGAGUGACGGUAAUGGGUAAAGAAGCACCGGCUAACUACGUG